GGCGGACAUAGCGACAGGGAAACGCCCGGUCCCAUCCCGAACCCGGAAGCUAAGCCUGUCAGCGCCGAUGAUACUG
This 76-nucleotide ribosomal RNA is filed under the name Mycobacterium hiberniae. Lineage: Bacteria; Bacillati; Actinomycetota; Actinomycetes; Mycobacteriales; Mycobacteriaceae. RNAcentral also lists the same sequence under 3 other names. The record is from RNAcentral.